CCCUGGGUGGCUCAAUCGGUUGAGCUUCUGACUUCAGCUCAGGUCAUGACCUCGCGGUUCGUGGGUUCGAGCCCCACGUCGGGCU
RNAcentral lists this transfer RNA (85 nucleotides) under Felis catus (domestic cat). It matches the Rfam family "tRNA". Rfam says of the family: Transfer RNA (tRNA) molecules are approximately 80 nucleotides in length. Their secondary structure includes four short double-helical elements and three loops (D, anti-codon, and T loops). Further hydrogen bonds mediate the characteristic L-shaped molecular structure. tRNAs have two regions of fundamental functional importance: the anti-codon, which is responsible for specific mRNA codon recognition, and the 3' end, to which the tRNAs corresponding amino acid is attached (by aminoacyl-tRNA synthetases). tRNAs cope with the degeneracy of the genetic code in two manners: having more than one tRNA (with a specific anti-codon) for a particular amino acid; and 'wobble' base-pairing, i.e. permitting non-standard base-pairing at the 3rd anti-codon position. The record is from Rfam by way of RNAcentral. Lineage: Eukaryota; Metazoa; Chordata; Mammalia; Carnivora; Felidae.